GCUCCCAAAGAUUAGCGGCGGACGGGUGAGUAACACGUGGGCAACCUGCCUGUAAGACUGGGAUAACUCCGGGAAACCGGGGCUAAUACCGGAUAAUAUCUAUUUAUACAUAUAAUUAGAUUGAAAGAUGGUUCUGCUAUCACUUACAGAUGGGCCCGCGGCGCAUUAGCUAGUUGGUGAGGUAACGGCUCACCAAGGCGACGAUGCGUAGCCGACCUGAGAGGGUGAUCGGCCACACUGGGACUGAGACACGGCCCAGACUCCUACGGGAGGCAGCAGUAGGGAAUCUUCCGCAAUGGACGAAAGUCUG
This 310-nucleotide ribosomal RNA is filed under the name Cytobacillus kochii. RNAcentral describes it as "bacterial SSU rRNA". It matches the Rfam family "Bacterial small subunit ribosomal RNA", at positions 81 to 385 of the family's 1533-position model. The record is from RNAcentral. Lineage: Bacteria; Bacillati; Bacillota; Bacilli; Caryophanales; Bacillaceae.